RNAcentral lists this non-coding RNA (24 nucleotides) under Gossypium hirsutum (cotton). The record is from RNAcentral. Lineage: Eukaryota; Viridiplantae; Streptophyta; Magnoliopsida; Malvales; Malvaceae.
AAUCCAUUGAUAUCUUGAGAUCGU